This 375-nucleotide ribosomal RNA is filed under the name uncultured organism. RNAcentral's name for it is "partial 16S ribosomal RNA". It matches the Rfam family "Bacterial small subunit ribosomal RNA", at positions 527 to 897 of the family's 1533-position model. The record is from RNAcentral.
GUAGGGUGCGAGCGUUAAUCGGAAUUACUGGGGCGUAAAGCGUGCGCAGGCGGUUGUGCAAGACAGAUGUGAAAUCCCCCGGGGCUCAACCUGGGGAAUUGCAUUUGUGACUGCACGGCUAGAGUGUGUCAGAGGGGGGUAGAAUUCCACGUGUAGCAGUGAAAUGCGUAGAGAUGUGGAGGAAUACCGAUGGCGAAGGCAGCCCCCUGGGAUAACACUGACGCUCAUGCACGAAAGCGUGGGGAGCAAACAGGAUUAGAUACCCUGGUAGUCCACGCCCUAAACGAUGUCAACUAGUUGUCGGGUCUUAAUUGACUUGGUAACGCAGCUAACGCGUGAAGUUGACCGCCUGGGGAGUACGGUCGCAAAGAUUAA